UGGGGAAUUUUGCACAAUGGGGGAAACCCUGAUGCAGCGACGCCGCGUGAUUUAGAAGGCCUUCGGGUUGUAAAAAUCUUUUCUAUGGGAAGAAAAUGACAUUACCAUAGGAAUAAGGACCGGCUAAUUACGUGCCAGCAGCCGCGGUAAUACGUAAGGUCCGAGCGUUGUCCGGAAUCAUUGGGCGUAAAGGGUACGUAGGCGGGUAAGCAAGUUAGAAGUGAAAUCCUGUAGCUCAACUACAGUAAGCUUUUAAAACUGCUCAUCUUGAGAUAUGGAAGGGAAAGUGGAAUUCCUAGUGUAGCGGUGAAAUGCGCAGAUAUUAGGAGGAAUACCGGUGGCGAAGGCGACUUUCUGGCCAUAAUCUGACGCUGAGGUACGAAAGCGUGGGUAGCAAACAGG
This 402-nucleotide ribosomal RNA is filed under the name Bacteroidota bacterium. RNAcentral's name for it is "Bacteroidetes bacterium partial 16S ribosomal RNA". It matches the Rfam family "Bacterial small subunit ribosomal RNA", at positions 355 to 776 of the family's 1533-position model. Lineage: Bacteria; Pseudomonadati; Bacteroidota. The record is from RNAcentral.